UACGUAGGGUGCGAGCGUUGUCCGGAAUUAUUGGGCGUAAAGAGCUCGUAGGCGGUGUGUCGCGUCGGCCGUGAAAACCUGCAGCUUAACUGUGGGCUUGCGGUCGAUACGGGCAUCACUGGAGUUCGGCAGGGGAGACUGGAAUUCCUGGUGUAGCGGUGAAAUGCGCAGAUAUCAGGAGGAACACCGGUGGCGAAGGCGGGUCUCUGGGCCGCAACUGACGCUGAGGAGCGAAAGCAUGGGGAGCGAACAGG
This 254-nucleotide ribosomal RNA is filed under the name uncultured bacterium. RNAcentral describes it as "partial 16S ribosomal RNA". It matches the Rfam family "Bacterial small subunit ribosomal RNA", at positions 524 to 776 of the family's 1533-position model. The record is from RNAcentral.